RNAcentral lists this non-coding RNA (373 nucleotides) under Pan troglodytes (chimpanzee). The record is from RNAcentral. Lineage: Eukaryota; Metazoa; Chordata; Mammalia; Primates; Hominidae.
GCCACCAACCCCUCUCCUUCCUGUGGCUUUUCUAACUGGAACUGGAACUCAGAAAGUACAUUAAUCACCAAUUUGGGAAGCUAUAGGAAAGUAUGUUUUCUAAUAUACAGUGAGAGAAUGUGACUGAUAAAAACCAAUUUUCUUGAGACUUUCUCCCUGGAAAGUGAAUAUAUUUAUUCAUAGGGCCUUCACAAGCACAGACUAACAAGCAAAGAGCUACAUUCACUAGGAAGGAAGACUCAAAAUUUAAAAAUAGAAAAAAAAAUGAUGGCCCAGAAGAGCAAGUCCAGACUGCUGUUCAUGAGUGAUCCUCACAGGACUGUGUUGCCUCUGACGUCGGCCAUCCUGGAGAGCAGCAGAGCAUCACUGGCAG